AAACGUCUGGGCAAUCGGUAGUCUGACCCGAUCAAAGAUGGUUAUCAGGGGCGACCACACGUUUGCAGACAGCUACCUGACAGUCAUUCCCCGGGGAACGGAGUUCGUGGUGUUCAGCAUCGACGGGUCCUUCGCUGCCAGCGUCUCGAUCAUGGGCAGCGACCCCAAAGUGCGGGCCGGAGCCGUGGAUGUUGUCAGACACUGUCAGG
Molecule: long non-coding RNA, 209 nt
Organism: Notothenia coriiceps (black rockcod)
Lineage: Eukaryota; Metazoa; Chordata; Actinopteri; Perciformes; Nototheniidae
Exons: 3
Source: RefSeq, a predicted model, not a curated record